UUUGUGAACAAUAAUGUUUGUGGCAAUGUUGUUAUGGAAACACAAAUGGAUAGUUUCCUUGUAUUAAGAUGUUCAUAGAAAAGCGCACCUAAGUGCUUAGAAUUUUAUGUUUGCUGUGAAAUUAACUCAUUCAUGCAAACGGCUGAUGAAAGGGCUGGCAUAAGAAAAUCUGAGGACGUGAACAGUUCUUCUGGAGGAAGCAGUCAUUCACUUGCACUUCUGACAAUCUACUGUGCACUAUUCAGUGCUCACAAUGUAGCCUCCUCUGCAAUGGAGAAACCACAUGCAGAUUGAAUGACUGCUCGGUGGAGUACCAGCAAUCCGUCCACAGACCCAAACUCCCUAGCUUCCUGUUUCUUUUCAGUUAAUUUCCCCACUCUCACUCUGACCCAUCCAUCUGUGGCCUCCUUCAAGGUUCCAGUGAAGCGUGAAUAAUAUCAUCUCUCUACACAUGUUACAGUCUUCUGGAUUCAAUACUAAAUUCAGGGCCGGCAGAUUCUUUGUCCCAUCAAGCUAUGUACUGGUCUCGACGAAGCUUCUCGGCCCGAAACAUC
Molecule: long non-coding RNA, 554 nt
Organism: Hypanus sabinus (Atlantic stingray)
Lineage: Eukaryota; Metazoa; Chordata; Chondrichthyes; Myliobatiformes; Dasyatidae
Exons: 3
Source: RefSeq, a predicted model, not a curated record